This 351-nucleotide transfer-messenger RNA is filed under the name Actinomycetota bacterium. RNAcentral's name for it is "Actinobacteria bacterium (freshwater metagenome) transfer-messenger RNA". It matches the Rfam family "transfer-messenger RNA". Rfam says of the family: Bacterial tmRNA, also known as 10Sa RNA or SsrA, is named for its dual tRNA and mRNA-like properties. Its role is to liberate the mRNA from a stalled ribosome. Lineage: Bacteria; Bacillati; Actinomycetota. The record is from RNAcentral.
GGGGAUGCAGGGUUUCGACAGGAGCAGGAGGUCCAUCGCUGCAGGCCGAGCAUGCCGCCAACCUCGUAAAAGCGACGGCAAACAAGUAACUGGCGAACAAGAACUCGCCCUCGCGGCCUAAACAACCGUGACGUCCAUCCGAUCCGUCCCUAGCGGACCGGAAUGGGCGCCAUAAGCUAGGGUGCCCCGGUCGAGCGCUCGCGGCGGCCGGGAAAGAUACAGCGAGCUGGCCAUGGCGGACGCCGCCGAGACGCGUCCGUGGUGGCAAGAAAAAGCAGUCCGGCUACGCCUGUAGACGCGGUUGGGCGGCAGCUCUUGGACGGGGCGUUCGACUCGCCCCCAUCUCCACCA